RNAcentral lists this ribosomal RNA (498 nucleotides) under uncultured bacterium. RNAcentral describes it as "partial 16S ribosomal RNA". It matches the Rfam family "Bacterial small subunit ribosomal RNA", at positions 30 to 523 of the family's 1533-position model. The record is from RNAcentral.
AUUGAACGCUGGCGGCAUGCCUUACACAUGCAAGUCGAACGGUAACAGGUCUUCGGAUGCUGACGAGUGGCGAACGGGUGAGUAAUACAUCGGAACGUGCCUAGUAGUGGGGGAUAACUACUCGAAAGAGUGGCUAAUACCGCAUGAGAUCUACGGAUGCAAGCAGGGGAUCGCACGACCUUGUGCUACUAGAGCGGCCGAUGGCGGAUUAGGUGGUUGGUGGGAUAAAAGCUUACCACGCCGACGAUCUGUAGCUGGUCUGAGAGGACGAUCAGCCACACUGGGACUGAGACACGGCCCAGACUCCUACGGGAGGCAGCAGUGGGGAAUUUUGGACAAUGGGCGAAAGCCUGAUCCAGCAAUGCCGCGUGCAGGAUGAAGGCCUUCGGGUUGUAAACUGCUUUUGUACGGAACGAAAAGCCCCGGGUUAAUACCCUGGGGUCAUGACGGUACCGUAAGAAUAAGCACCGGCUAACUACGUGCCAGCCGCCGCCGUAA